This is a long non-coding RNA of Neofelis nebulosa (Clouded leopard), 2065 nucleotides long. RefSeq lists it as uncharacterized. The record is from RefSeq and is a predicted model, not a curated record. Lineage: Eukaryota; Metazoa; Chordata; Mammalia; Carnivora; Felidae. The transcript is spliced from 2 exons.
AAAACAAUAUCAGUGAGGUCUGCUGUGCUUACCAUAGAAUUUCUAAGGUGAGAAGGAUUUGAUUGCUCAACAGACAGGUACGUUACAUACUUAACAUACCACUGUAGUAGCAUAAACAUCAAAAGAAGGAGACAAAUUCUUGAAAGAACUCGAUUAUUUCAUGGAAGUGCCAAGCUAUCAAAGUAGUCACUUGGGAAAGGAAUCCUGCAGACUCCUUUCUUACGAUUUUAUAUUUUUGCAUCUUCAGUAAAAAAAUGAUGUCAAAAUCUCCAUGGCUGAAAGCAAUAAAGGUGUAUUUUUAAUUUGUAUUACACAUUCACUGUGGGCUGGCCAGGAGGGACAGUGGAUCCCGAGAGGGACGGGGGGUCAUUCUGUACUACUCAGCCUUCGCUCAGGGAAGCAGGACGGUCACAAACAGCCCUGGCCUCAGUGGCAGAGGGGAGACAGCAUGGGCAAUUGUUCAUUGGCCGUUGAAGUUAGUCUCCUGCCAGAAAACGUCUGCUCACAUCCCAUUGGCCCAAGCCAAUCUCGUGGCUUAUAUGACUUUAAGGAGGUGAAGACUGGUGGUACUGCCAUGUGCGUGGAAGGAAAAUACCAAGCCUGUUGGGGAACAGCCUGACAAUCACAAUUCUGCAGAUAGAAGAUAGGUAGGUAGGUAGACAGAUAAUGAUGGACAGAGAACAGAUAGAUACAAAGAUAGUGAGAUAAGGAGGACAAUAAUCUUUUCAGUGUUUGGGGCUCUCAAAUGUCAUAAUCCUCCCCAGAAGGGAGGGAGAAAAGGCUGGUCGUCCCUCCUUGGAGUUGGAUAAAUGCAAACAGUAAGAUCCCACAAUCUCCUGUUCUCCUCCAGACCCUGUGAUUCUGAUUCCUUACUUUCUGCCUCCCACCUCAGUUCCAACGGAUGAAGACUUGUUUUCUCACUGGAGUGGGAGCAGGGCUGAUGACCUCACUGACCGUCUCCAAGCUGCUUUUGGGGGCAGAUGCCAUCAGGAGGGACUCUGGCUUGUGGAAAUACUAUGUUCUCUUCCUGCCUUCGGGUGACUGUACAAACUUAAAAAAAAAAAAAAAAAAAAAAAAAAAAAAGCCCAGGCUGCAGCUCCACACAGGGUGUCUAGCCAAAAUGCAAAGUUUUACCACAGCACACAAGUAGACAGUGUUUUUCAAGUGCGGGAACCGAGUGAGGUGCCUUUCAGCACCUUUGCCGGCACCUUCUUUAAAAAUGAUUUAAAUUGGAGGCAAUAGCAUCGAACGCUGAACAUCUGACAUUCAGACAAGACUUAAUGAAUCAUACACUUUAACAACAUCACUCUCCUCCAGCCACUUCACUUGGAGUCCAUGGUGGUUGUUUCUCCCCCCCAUAAAAACAUUUGUUCUGCAGACCAUUUGCUGGUUAGAGUGUCCUGGGCAACUCUUCAUUCAUGGCAGGGAGAGCUGGUCCAAGAGACACUGCAAACCUGAGUUCCUCCCGUGUCCAGUCUCUCCAGCUCUGAACUUCAGACUCGAGAGACAACAGUGGUUCUUCGGAACCCGACUUAGAACCACCUCGGUCUCUCCCCAGAGCGGUCUACUGCAGAGUAUUUAAGCUGCGCGACCAAAUGUCCCCAACCUACAGCAGCCAGUGCUGUCAUUUGACUGAUUUGAAUCAAACUAACAAAAAAGCUAUGACUCUGUGGAUCGGAAAAUACCAGUGUUAGGGGGAAAAGACAACAAUUCUGAUAUUCAGGUUGGAGCAAAUCAUUAUCUUCAGUGUUGUUAUUUAAUCCUCUCCCUGUGGGGGUGACAGUAUGUCUCAUAGCUUGCCUGACAACUGCUAAGGACACAGGCAGAGUGGUCCAAGGUUGCCCAGCUUCACCAAGGACCAUAAGCUAUUGUCUCACACACCUUUUGGACGGGUUACCAAUUCAACGCCACUGGCAGAGAAAGCGGGAAGGGGGGGCAUUCCCUCGGGGCUGCAACGUAUGCAAACAAUUUAAUCUUCCAAUCCAAUCCUUAAUGUAAAUGUUUAAUAUAAACCUGAUGUUAACACGAUGUACAUGAAUUUACUGGCCAGCAAAGCUGGGAUUUA